This 254-nucleotide ribosomal RNA is filed under the name uncultured bacterium. Its description in RNAcentral is "partial 16S ribosomal RNA". It matches the Rfam family "Bacterial small subunit ribosomal RNA", at positions 524 to 776 of the family's 1533-position model. The record is from RNAcentral.
UACGGAGGGUGCAAGCGUUGUCCGGAAUCACUGGGCGUAAAGGGCGCGUAGGCGGCCUGGUAAGUAGGGGGGUGAAAUCCUGCGGCUUAACCGCAGGGCUGCCUUCUAAACUGUCAGGCUUGAGCACGGUAGAGGCAGAUGGAAUUCCCGGUGUAGCGGUGGAAUGCGUAGAGAUCGGGAAGAACAUCAGUGGCGAAGGCGGUCUGCUGGGCUAUGGCUGACACUGAGGCGCGACAGCGUGGGGAGCAAACAGG